This 214-nucleotide unclassified non-coding RNA is filed under the name uncultured Agaricales. RNAcentral describes it as "sequence contains ITS2". The record is from RNAcentral. Lineage: Eukaryota; Fungi; Basidiomycota; Agaricomycetes; Agaricales.
AAUUAUCAAUCUUGCAAGCUUUUGCUUGUGAGGCUUGGAUGUGAGGGUUUUGCUGGCUUCCUUCAGCUGGAUGGUCUGCUCCCUUUAAAUUCAUUAGUGGGAUCCUUUGUGGAUGGUCACUUGGUGUGAUAAUUAUCUACGCCGCGCCUGACUAUGAAACAAGACUUGUGGGGACCUGCUUAUAACCGUCUCGCAAGGGACAAUUUAAUUGACU